GACGUAGGGCGCGAGCGUUGUCCGGAUUUAUUGGGCGUAAAGAGCGUGUAGGCGGUUUGGUAGGUCCGCUGUGAAAACUCGAGCUCAACCUCGAGACGCCGGUGGAAACCAUCAGACUAGAGUCCGGAAGAGGAGAGUGGAAUUCCUGGUGUAGCGGUGAAAUGCGCAGAUAUCAGGAAGAACACCCGUGGCUAAGGCGGCUCUCUAGUACGGUACUGACGCUGAGACGCGAAAGCGUGGGGAGCGAACAGG
RNAcentral lists this ribosomal RNA (252 nucleotides) under uncultured bacterium. RNAcentral's name for it is "partial 16S ribosomal RNA". It matches the Rfam family "Bacterial small subunit ribosomal RNA", at positions 524 to 776 of the family's 1533-position model. The record is from RNAcentral.